UAACACAUGCAAGUCGAGGGGAAACGACAUCGAAAGCUUGCUUUUGAUGGGCGUCGACCGGCGCACGGGUGAGUAACGCGUAUCCAACCUGCCCACCACUUGGGAAUAACCUUGCGAAAGUAAGACUAAUACCCAAUGAUAUCUCUAGAAGGCAUCAGAAAGAGAUUAAAGAUUUAUCGGUGAUGGAUGGGGAUGCGUCUGAUUAGCUUGUUGGCGGGGUAACGGCCCACCAAGGCUACGAUCAGUAGGGGUUCUGAGAGGAAGGUCCCCCACAUUGUAACUGAGACACGGUCCAAACUCCUACGGGAGGCAGCAGUGAGGAAUAUUGGUCAAUGGACGAGAGUCUGAACCAGCCAAGUAGCGUGCAGGAUGACGGCCCUAUGGGUUGUAAACUGCUUUUAUAAGGGAAUAAAGUGAGUCUCGUGAGACUUUUUGCAUGUACCUUAUGAAUAAGGACCGGCUAAUUCCGUGCCAGCAGCCGCGGUAAUACGGAAGGUCCGGGCGUUAUCCGGAUUUAUUGGGUUUAAAGGGAGCGUAGGCCGGAGAUUAAGCGUGUUGUGAAAUGUAGAUGCUCAACAUCUGCACUGCAGCGCGAACUGGUUUCCUUGAGUACGCACAAAGUGGGCGGAAUUCGUGGUGUAGCGGUGAAAUGCUUAGAUAUCACGAAGAACUCCGAUUGCGAAGGCAGCUCACUGGAGCGCAACUGACGCUGAAGCUCGAAAGUGCGGGUAUCGAACAGGAUUAGAUACCCUGGUAGUCCGCACGGUAAACGAUGGAUGCCCGCUGUUGGUCUGAAUAGGUCAGCGGCC
Molecule: ribosomal RNA, 809 nt
Filed under: uncultured bacterium
Lineage: Bacteria
Description: bacterial SSU rRNA
Rfam family: Bacterial small subunit ribosomal RNA
Source: RNAcentral